This 364-nucleotide ribosomal RNA is filed under the name Clostridioides difficile. RNAcentral's name for it is "bacterial LSU rRNA". It matches the Rfam family "Bacterial large subunit ribosomal RNA", at positions 224 to 593 of the family's 2925-position model. Lineage: Bacteria; Bacillati; Bacillota; Clostridia; Peptostreptococcales; Peptostreptococcaceae. The record is from RNAcentral.
AGAAAUUCGAUUCCGUAAGUAGCGGCGAGCGAACGAGGAUUAGCCCAAGACAAGAAAGUUUUCAUUAUGGGGGAUGCUAACAUAUCAUAACGAAGAGGUAUCGUAAUUGAAGAGGUUUGGAAAGACCAACCACAGAAGGUAAUAGUCCUGUAUGUUAAACGAGAAGACUUUAGAUAUGAGCCAGAGUACCACGGGACACGUGAAACCCUGUGGGAAGCAGGAGGGACCACCCUCCAAGGCUAAAUACUACCUAGUGACCGAUAGCGUAUAGUACCGUGAGGGAAAGGUGAAAAGAACCCCGGGAGGGGAGUGAAAUAGAACCUGAAACCCUGCACUUACAAGCUGUGGAAGCACAUUUCUUGUG